UGGAGAAUAUUGCACAAUGGGGGAAACCCUGAUGCAGCAACGCCGCGUGCGGGAUGACGGCCUUCGGGUUGUAAACCGCUUUCAGCCAUGACGAAGCUUUUGUGACGGUAGUGGCAGAAGAAGCACCGGCUAACUACGUGCCAGCAGCCGCGGUGAUACGUAGGGUGCGAGCGUUGUCCGGAAUUAUUGGGCGUAAAGAGCUUGUAGGCGGUUUGUCGCGUCGAAAGUGUAAACUCAGUGCUUAACGCUGAGCCUGCUUUCGAUACGGGCUGACUAGAGGAAGGUAGGGGAGAAUGGAAUUCCCGGUGGAGCGGUGGAAUGCGCAGAUAUCGGGAGGAACACCAGUGGCGAAGGCGGUUCUCUGGACCUUUCCUGACGCUGAGAAGCGAAAGCGUGGGUAGCAAACAGG
This 409-nucleotide ribosomal RNA is filed under the name bacterium. RNAcentral's name for it is "partial 16S ribosomal RNA". It matches the Rfam family "Bacterial small subunit ribosomal RNA", at positions 355 to 776 of the family's 1533-position model. The record is from RNAcentral.